GAAUUGGCUUUCUUCAAAGCCACAUCAUUUACCUAAAUGUGUUGU
This is a non-coding RNA of Colinus virginianus (northern bobwhite), 45 nucleotides long. The record is from Rfam. Lineage: Eukaryota; Metazoa; Chordata; Aves; Galliformes; Odontophoridae.